This 232-nucleotide long non-coding RNA is filed under the name Manihot esculenta (cassava). Its description in RNAcentral is "long non-coding RNA (MESC_LNC011883)". The record is from RNAcentral. Lineage: Eukaryota; Viridiplantae; Streptophyta; Magnoliopsida; Malpighiales; Euphorbiaceae.
GCACAAGCCUCAAACCCACACGCACAAGUAGAUAUGGAAUUCAAAGAUUUGAUAAACCCACCUCCUAUGGCACCCCACACUUAGAGAAGCUGAAACACCAAUGAUCGAAGGAUUUAGAUGAGAAUCUGACAAACGCCACAACGAAUAGUUGAUAAGUAAGCCAAGAUUCCUGGUGCAAUUGAUGAAAGCAAAUCCUCACUCUCACUCAAAGCAAUACACGCCAAAGGCAUGA